AGAGUUUGAUCAUGGCUCAGAACGAACGCUGGCGGCGUGUCUUAAGCAUGCAAGUCGGACGGCAAGGCGGGGCAACCCGCCCUAGAGUGGCGGACUGGUGAGUAACACGUGGGUGAUCUACCCUUGGUUUGGGGAUAGCUCGUGGAAACACGGGGUAAUACCGAAUACGUUCUUACGGCUACGGCUGUAAGAGGAAAGGCGCUAAGGCGCCGACCGAGGAUGAGCCCGCGUCCCAUUAGCUAGUUGGUGAGGUAAUGGCCCACCAAGGCGAUGAUGGGUAGGCGGCCUGAGAGGGUGUACGCCCACAUUGGGACUGAGAUACGGCCCAAACUCCUACGGGAGGCAGCAGCUAAGAAUAUUCCGCAAUGGACGAAAGUCUGACGGAGCGACGCCGCGUGGAUGAAGAAGGCCGAAAGGUUGUAAAAUUCUUUUGUCGGGGAAGAAUAACCAUGGGAGGGAAUGCCCGUGGGAUGACAUGAACCGGCGAAUAAGCCCCGGCUAACUACGUGCCAGCAGCCGCGGUAACACGUAGGGGGCGAGCGUUGUUCGGAAUUACUGGGCGUAAAGGGCAUGUAGGCGGUUUUGUAAGACUGGCGUGAAAGGCUGCAGCUUAACUGUAGCAUGGCGCUGGUAACUACAAGACUUGAGUCACGGAGAGGGAGCUAGAAUUCCAGGUGUAGGGGUGAAAUCUGUAGAUAUCUGGAAGAAUACCAGUGGCGAAGGCGAGCUUCUGGCCGAUGACUGACGCUGAGGUGCGAAAGCGUGGGUAGCAAACAGGAUUAGAUACCCUGGUAGUCCACGCGGUAAACGAUGCACACUAGGUGCUGGGGCGGACGCUUCAGUGCCGGAGUUAACGUGGUAAGUGUGCCGCCUGGGGAGUAUGCUCGCAAGGGUGAAACUCAAAUGAAUUGACGG
RNAcentral lists this ribosomal RNA (915 nucleotides) under uncultured bacterium. RNAcentral's name for it is "bacterial SSU rRNA". It matches the Rfam family "Bacterial small subunit ribosomal RNA", at positions 8 to 916 of the family's 1533-position model. The record is from RNAcentral.